Non-coding RNA from Rhopilema esculentum, 3229 nucleotides. The record is from RefSeq and is a predicted model, not a curated record. NCBI's taxonomy places the organism in Eukaryota, Metazoa, Cnidaria, Scyphozoa, Rhizostomeae, Rhizostomatidae.
GCUGAUUUCAGAUUGUAUUGGUUUUAUUUGAAGUGCUUUAGUGUAGUUUGCAAGUAGGAUAUACUGACCCAAAAUUAAAUGCUCAGUCAAUCAGCCCAAAAACCAAUCCCACGAAAGGUAAAUAAAGGAUAUAGCCAUCAAAAAGCAAGAAACAUUGCAUGUUGAAACAUCAAGCCUGAAUGCAUUAUAAUAGUGCUGGUCUGUGGAAGAAUGCUUGGAGAAGUAUUCUUCCUUUUGGAUCCUUUAAUGAGAGCAUCCGCCACUCUUUGUCAAUUUCAUAAAUAAUUUCAUUUGUAAGGCAUUUUCUCACUUGUUCAUGCCUCAAAGCAGCGUUUGCAAUUUGGGUGUAUGUCCCAUGGCAAAUCAUGCUACCAAGAGGAACGAGAUCCUUUGGCAAGCAGUAUGUUUUGGUUUUUGACUUCCAGUUUACGGAGACGCUGACUGUUGUUUCCUGGGUAUCUGAAAAGUCUAAAGACCUUGCUGUUCUUGACUUUCCAGCCGGCAUACUAGAUUCACCCAAUACAAACACUUUUGGUGCUGACAACAGGCUUUUUGGGGGUGCUGGUGAAUAAUUUAUUCCAAGCAGCUUCAAUUAGCGAUAAAGGCAAAGGGCUACUCUUUUCAUCAACUUUUUGGUGGCCAUCUUCAUACCUUUUUUCUAGGUUCUCUGCAAGUUCUUGGGCCUCAGCUUUAGCAGAACACCUUUGACGUAACAAGGGAAGACAAUCUUGCAAGGUAUCUGGAUUCGAAUUUUGCAUAAUUUAUAAUCUUUCCAAAUGAUAGAUAAAGUAUAUCUUCAGUGUAAUUAUUUUUGCCACUUUUUUGUGGUCAAUUCCAAGAGACAGAUUGCACACAGUGGCUUAAAUGCAGACGCCAUGAAUACUGUUUGUUUGAUCACUGUUGUUGCUAUGUAUCCAUAGAAAUAGGAAAAGUGCUGAGUUGGCAGAACAAGAAAACACACUCAGUUCCACAGAUUCUACUUUCCUCUCAUUUUUCUCCUCUACGAGUCUUACGCAGGCUGGGCUAGAUGGAGCUUGCAAGUUGUACGCUCUGCAGGCCACCCAAGAAAGACCCUGCUUUGUUUUAGGCAAUAAUUUUUGGCAAAUCAAAGGUUACAUAAAUUUAAAAGUUGUUUAGUCCCAGAAACCAACUGAUAUCAAUAAAAUUGUUAUAGAACUUUUAAAUUGAGGAACUUGGGAACACCCUAAAUUUGGCAACCAAAAAUAAAAAUGCGUUAGAUCAGCUGGCAAAGGUGUCAGGUGACGUUAAUGCAAAUUUUAUAUGUCAUAUAAAAAAAACCAAAAAAAUCUAUAUAUCAAAAUUUAUAAAAUCCAAAUGUAAAAUAUAUAUGUAGAUUAAUGAUUCGUCAUCGUUUGUUUAUCAGGAAAACGAAGUGUACUUAUUCUUCAUACACAAAAAGCAUGAUUAACGCAUAUUACUCAUACACAUUUUCCUCAAUAAAAAGGUAUAAUCUGAAAAAACAGCAGUCAUGUUGGACCAGCGAUUUUUAGACGAGCAAAUUGUCAAGAUGGCUGUUGAAAACUCAAAUUCCUUAUCGCCAUCUUGAAGAAGUGGCAGCCAUUGCUGGGCUGAAUUCAGCAGCCAUUUACAAUGGUUACCACCGUCUUUGAAGAAAGAACAAAGAAAAAUAUUGAAGAAAUUGCAUGAUAAUCCUUAAUCUAGAGAGCAAUGUUUUGCUCUCUGAAUACAAACUGUUUGUUUUACCUAUUGUUGCUCUUUUCUUUACAUGUAUUUAUUUUUUAUUGUCUCCCAGUCCAUGUCUUGAUUGCCUCAGUUGACGAAAUAUAGCCUCCUUCAAUAAUGUUCUACCAUUGAAUAAAGGUCGUACAGAUAAAGUGUGAACAGAACUGUUAAACAGAACAAUUUUGAGCGGCGACAGUGUUAACACUUGUGGACCGAAAUGGCAGAGGCUAAAUAUAAGUCAUCUUUUAGCUUUCAGUUUAUACACUAUCAUACAAAACUGUAUAAAGUUUCUAAUAAUGACUUUGAAGGAAGCAUACAUUAUAAAACAUACUAAAAGCUUUCUCGUCUGAUACUCCUCAGAGCAUAAAACGCCUGUAUCUUUUCCGACUCCCAACUUAGACCAGUUGUAGAUGGGACCCUUCACUGUCCAGAUGACUGGUGCGUCAAUUCUGCACCUGGAGGCCAGUUCAGACACGUUGCAAUCAAACUAGCCACUGUUGGUGAAGCAAUAAAAAAGAAACGUUCUUCAAAAUGGGUUGCAUUUGUGGUCGGUACGAACGAUUUGGCCAAACACAUGGUUUUGGAUAGAGCCAAGGAUGAUUUCUGUCAUUUGCUUGCAACAGUCACAAAGUUUUUGCAGACAGGUCUGUGACUAGUCUCAAAUAACUGCCUGACUUGAGAAUUUGCAAACAUUAUCAAACCAUUUCAUUGUAACAACAUUGUUUUGGGUAAUUUCCAAAAGUUUCGUUUAGGUACAAUGAAAGAACGAAUAGCGCCUUUGCAGAACUGUAAAUUCGUUAGGGGUCUUAAAUCUCAAGAAACAAGCAAAUUUUCCGAUAUAUGACAUAAUUUUCGAAAAAUUUGUUUAAAGAAUGACUCUAGCACAAGCUGGAAGGGGGGGGGGGAAGGUUCUCAUGCCAAAAUUGCAAAAAUAUCUAUGUUCCUUUCUAGGGAGGCUGUAAUAUUAUCAGAAUUAUUAUCAUAACAUGAAAAUGAAUUUUAUUGGCUUAAUACAUAGCUACAUCUUGUUGAAAAACUGUUAGCUAUUUAUUAUCAUUUGACAACUAAUGCCAUUUUGGAAUUCCUCGCAUACAUCACGAUAAUUCAAGUGCCUUUCCAUUAUAGGUUCUUGUAGUAUCGAUUCUGCCAUGGCUCGAUGAGGCAGACAUCCGACUCGGCCAUUACAAUUAUAUGAUGGCAAGAGAGGCAUCUGCUUCAAAUGUUGCAGAUGCAGACAAUGAUUAUGAUCGCUGGGACCUUUCUGGUCGAACAAAGACAGCGUCCAUUUAAGUGCAAACUUUGGUCUGCCACGACUCAUCUCAUUAAUCGUGGAUCAACUUGAGAAAAUCUAAGCCGAGGUUGAAGACACAUAAAAGACGAGGGGGCCAAGGUUAUGCCCUGCAUUCAUUUGGAGGGAGCUGAAAAACCAACACCCUCUUGGCAAACAAUUGAUCAAAGCUGAAGAGGAAGCCAUGCCUUUGAAAGUAACAAAAAUUGAUAAAAGAAAAAGAAUCAGCUAUGUGUA